RNAcentral lists this ribosomal RNA (506 nucleotides) under uncultured bacterium. RNAcentral's name for it is "partial 16S ribosomal RNA". It matches the Rfam family "Bacterial small subunit ribosomal RNA", at positions 29 to 523 of the family's 1533-position model. The record is from RNAcentral.
AGUGAACGCUGGCGGUAGGCCUAACACAUGCAAGUCGAACGGCAGCACAGGAGAGCUUGCUCUCUGGGUGGCGAGUGGCGGACGGGUGAGGAAUACAUCGGAAUCUACUUUUUCGUGGGGGAUAACGUAGGGAAACUUACGCUAAUACCGCAUACGACCUACGGGUGAAAGCAGGGGAUCUUCGGACCUUGCGCGAUUGAAUGAGCCGAUGUCGGGUUAGCUAGUUGGCGGGGUAAAGGCCCACCAAGGCGACGAUCCGUAGCUGGUCUGAGAGGAUGAUCAGCCACACUGGAACCGAGACACGGUCCAGACUCCUACGGGAGGCAGCAGUGGGGAAUAUUGGACAAUGGGCGCAAGCCUGAUCCAGCCAUACCGCGUGGGUGAAGAAGGCCUUCGGGUUGUAAAGCCCUUUUGUUGGGAAAGAAAUCCAGCUGGCUAAUACCCGGUUGGGAUGACGGUACCCAAAGAAUAAGCACCGGCUAACUUCGUGCCAGCCGCCGCGGUAA